UCCCCGAUAGUCUAGUGGUGAGGAUAUCUGCUUGUCAUCGGGGAAUUAUUCCCUGACAACGAUUCGCAGGGGACCGGGGUUCAAUUCCCCGUCGAGGAG
This 99-nucleotide transfer RNA is filed under the name Colletotrichum lupini. It matches the Rfam family "tRNA". From Rfam's summary of the family: Transfer RNA (tRNA) molecules are approximately 80 nucleotides in length. Their secondary structure includes four short double-helical elements and three loops (D, anti-codon, and T loops). The record is from Rfam by way of RNAcentral. RNAcentral also lists the same sequence under 1 other name. Lineage: Eukaryota; Fungi; Ascomycota; Sordariomycetes; Glomerellales; Glomerellaceae.